Molecule: ribosomal RNA, 448 nt
Filed under: uncultured bacterium
Lineage: Bacteria
Description: bacterial SSU rRNA
Rfam family: Bacterial small subunit ribosomal RNA
Source: RNAcentral
UUCCAGACUCCUACGGGAGGCAGCAGUGGGGGAUAUUGCACAAUGGGGGGAACCCUGAUGCAGCGACGCCGCGUGGGUGAAGGAGCGUUUCUGCGCGUAAAGCCCUCUCGGCAGGGAAGAAGGAGGACGGUACCUGACUAAGAAGCCCCGGCUAACUACGUGCCAGCAGCCGCGGUAAUACGUAGGGGGCAAGCGUUAUCCGGAUUUACUGGGUGUAAAGGGGGCGCAGACGGCAGCGCAAGCCAGGAGUGAAAGCCCGGGGCCCAACCCCGGGACUGCUCUUGGAACUGCGCGGCUGGAGUGCAGGAGGGGCAGGCGGAAUUCCUGGUGUAGCGGUGAAAUGCGUAGAUAUCAGGAGGAACACCGGUGGCGAAGGCGGCCUGCUGGACUGCGACUGACGUUGAGGCCCGAAAGCGUGGGGAGCAAACAGGAUUAGAUACCCCUGUAG